This is a non-coding RNA of Drosophila virilis, 680 nucleotides long. NCBI's taxonomy places the organism in Eukaryota, Metazoa, Arthropoda, Insecta, Diptera, Drosophilidae. The record is from RefSeq and is a predicted model, not a curated record.
UAUUUCUCUCAGUGUAGCUGACAAUUGCAUGAAUACUACACAUUGAUUGACUAUACAUUGUCAUAGUAGCCCAGGUUUGCUUUAAUAUAUGUAUCUACACUUAUGCAAAUUAGAGUUUAGAAAAAAAAAAACGGAAACUAUUUACACACUUACACAGUUUAAAUUAACUAGCGACAAAACCCUCCGCCUGCAACCUGCCUUUACGUUAAUUUAAAUACUGUGAAUGAAUUAUUGCUCCACCGACUGCGCACAGAUCGGAUAAUUUAUGGUAAAAAUGGUAAAACAAUCAAAGAUGCUUACACUAUGUUGCAGAUAUCGAAAGUAGAUCAGAGGAAAAAAAAGAGCCAAGGCUGCAAGCCGUGAUCAUCACUGGUAUUCCAAUUUGUUUCUUACUAUGACCCAAGCCACGUUGAUUAAGAGACAGACGAAGCAGAAUAAGCAAUCAUUGUUUAAAAAUAAACAACUUGAGGGAGACCCAGCUACUAAAUUUGGCUUAUUGGAUUAAUUUAAACACAUUUUAUAUGGAUUUUGAGUAAAGAUCAGAUUAAGCCUAGCUAAUAAUAGCUUUAGCUUAGCUAUAAAAUUUGACAAUUUAAUAACAAGCUUCAAUAUAUAUGAUAAAUAAAGGGUUAAGCCCAGGCCAGAAAUGUGAGAAGUCAGCUUAGCAACUGUGAUUCGAA